Non-coding RNA from Paramuricea clavata, 1071 nucleotides. The record is from the annotation of a GenBank genome assembly. Lineage: Eukaryota; Metazoa; Cnidaria; Anthozoa; Malacalcyonacea; Plexauridae.
CUGAACAUUAAAGCUUGUGAUGGAGAGAAGUAAAUUUUCGGUUUAUCCUUCGGCCCAGUGUGCUGUACGUGUUUCCUGACUGCCGGGCACGUAGUAUUUUAAAAAUACUGCCCGGAAGCCGCAUGUAGACCAGUAUUUCGAUUCCGAUGGAAUUAUAAAGUUUGAUAGUUUAGUCUUUAGAUACAUGUGAUGGAUAUUUUGACUAUAGCCUAAACUAGAUAGAGUACACACAAUAUAUCUGAUGAACUGGACCAAGAAAUGUAGAACUACAAAACACGUGUCUAUUUGAAUAAAAUAACCACUAACAGUAACUUACAUCAUGGUCUAUCAAGAUAUGAAUCAUAUGAUGGUCUGGAAACUUAGCAGAAGUGUUUUUUAUAUGUUUUUGUCUGAGUUUAUGUUACAUAAUCAUUGCAUUUUGGUAUAAUUAAGCAACCGUCCAAUAGGGAUAGCUGAGACAAAGGAUUUGCGCAUGGUAAGGCACAGUCCAACAUCAAACAAAGGUCUUCUAUUUUGCAGCUUUGAAGUUUGUCAGGCUUCCAGACCAUGAUCAUAUGACAUAUGCUUACAUGUUAAACUUCUUAUUCUAUAACGUCUUAAUUCUAAGUAUUCUACAAGAGUCAAUCAUCUGCAAAUCCCACGAUGUUACUAGUUGUACGAUACAAAACUAUAGCUCUACAAUUAAGUGUUAAUUCCCUUUGUUUUGGUUCUGUAAAUUAGUCAUUCACUUGCAUGAUGACGCUUUUCUACAUGCAAAGCCACAAUGCCACUUGCUACAACAUCUGCACUCCACGUCGUGUGCAUAACAAGCCCAACUAGCGUAUUUACAACAUCCUCUGUAAUUGCCACAACAUCCAUAAUCGCUUCCAUAUAUGUACCAGCCUCGUCUAUUCGUCAGGGCACCCCAUCCUCUGCGACAUUUCCUCCGUAUAACAAUACCCCGUUUCUGCAAGAUACUGGCACUGCGUUUCGUUUCGUAAUCGCCGACGUUGCCGUUGGCUAGCACGAGGAAACUGAGUAGAAGACUCACGAUAAAAACCAGUUGCAGAAAUUUCAUUGUUUAUGAAAGCU